GACAGAGGGUGCAAACGUUGUUCGGAAUUACUGGGCGUAAAGCGCGUGUAGGCUGCUCGGAAAGUCGGAUGUGAAAGCCCUGGGCUCAACCUAGGAAGUGCAUUCGAAACUUCCGAGCUAGAGUUCUGGAGAGGAAGGCGGAAUUCUCGGUGUAGAGGUGAAAUUCGUAGAUAUCGAGAGGAACACCGGUGGCGAAGGCGGCCUUCUGGACAGUGACUGACGCUGAGACGCGAAAGCGUGGGGAGCGAACAGG
RNAcentral lists this ribosomal RNA (253 nucleotides) under uncultured bacterium. Its description in RNAcentral is "partial 16S ribosomal RNA". It matches the Rfam family "Bacterial small subunit ribosomal RNA", at positions 524 to 776 of the family's 1533-position model. The record is from RNAcentral.